UACGAAGGGGGCGAGCGUUGUUCGGAAUUACUGGGCGUAAAGGGCGCACAGGCGGUCCAUCAAGUCAGGCGUGAAAGCCCCGGGCUCAACCUGGGAACUGCGCUUGAGACUGGCGGACUUGAGGACGGGAGAGGAGAGUGGAAUUCCCAGUGUGGAGGUGAAAUUCGUAGAUAUUGGGAAGAACGCCGAUGGCGAAGGCAGCUCUCUGGACCGUUACUGACGCUGAGGCGCGAAAGCGUGGGGAGCAAACAGG
RNAcentral lists this ribosomal RNA (253 nucleotides) under uncultured bacterium. Its description in RNAcentral is "partial 16S ribosomal RNA". It matches the Rfam family "Bacterial small subunit ribosomal RNA", at positions 524 to 776 of the family's 1533-position model. The record is from RNAcentral.